CGUAGGUAACCUGCCUUGUAGCGGGGGAGUAACUAUUGGAAACGAUAGCUAAUACCGCAUAACAAUGGAUGACACAUGUCAUUUAUUUUGAAAGGGGCAAUUGCUCCACUACAAGAUGGACCUGCGUUGUAUUAGCUAGUAGGUGAGGUAACGGCUCACCUAGGCGACGAUACAUAGCCGACCUGAGAGGGUGAUCGGCCACACUGGGACUGAGACACGGCCCAGACUCCUACGGGAGGCAGCAUG
RNAcentral lists this ribosomal RNA (246 nucleotides) under uncultured bacterium. Its description in RNAcentral is "partial 16S ribosomal RNA". It matches the Rfam family "Bacterial small subunit ribosomal RNA", at positions 116 to 353 of the family's 1533-position model. The record is from RNAcentral.